UCGUAUUAUCGAUAUGGUUUUGCAAUGGUAUUGUUUUAAUUACU
This 44-nucleotide small RNA is filed under the name Staphylococcus aureus. RNAcentral describes it as "HMPRFS0000_2288". The record is from RNAcentral. Lineage: Bacteria; Bacillati; Bacillota; Bacilli; Caryophanales; Staphylococcaceae.